Microtus oregoni (creeping vole) is the source of this 1689-nucleotide long non-coding RNA. RefSeq lists it as uncharacterized. Lineage: Eukaryota; Metazoa; Chordata; Mammalia; Rodentia; Cricetidae. The record is from RefSeq and is a predicted model, not a curated record. The transcript has 3 exons.
CUCUCCUGCCAUCAGGAACUCCUGAAGGUCUCGUGCUCAGAGCAGCUGUAGGCACUCAGAUCAGGGGAUUACAAGAAAUUCAGGAUCUGGGGUCUCACUGCUCCCAACACGCCUCCUCACAGAGAAAGGUGGUCUCUUAGGGAAAACCCUGCUUGACAUCAGUCAGGACAGCUAUUUGGCUCAGCACUGACUUUUCUACAGCAACAUUUCACUUCUCUGCCCUGAAUUUAAAUCUAAUUGUAUCUGCUCAACGGGGACUUCAUAGACAUCUCCCCUUGUGUGGUCCCUUUGUGCCUGAGAAGUUCUUCUAUGACUCAGGGUAUACAUAGCCAUAAAAUAGGCACAUAAAUCAGACAUUUGCCACAAGUAAGUCACAAAGAAAUUUAUUUUAGAGUAAUUAUUUGGGGGUCCUGGAGACAGAACUUUUGGUAAAGUGUCUGCUUUACAAGUCGGAGGACCUGUAUUUGAUCCCAAGAAGCCAUGUAAAGAAGCCUGGACGUGGUGGCACGUGUUUGUAAUCAUAGCCCUGGGGAGGAAGAGACAGAUGCUGGGGGCUCACUAGCCAGCCUGCCUCAUGGAUUUGAUGAGUCCCAGCAGGUCAGCGAGAGACCUUAUCUCAAAAAAAUAAAUGUGGAAAGCACCCGUGGAACCUCAGGGUAUCCAUGACCAAGACCCAGAAUAUCUGGUGCCAAUACCCGAGGCUUCAGAGUGCUCAGUGUUGACGAUGAUGAGACUCUAUGAAGUCACCAGAAGAAAAUGGUUCCAUGGUGCUGGGAUUCCCAGGCACUUCUUCAGCCUCUGACCAGCUUUGCACUCUGUGCUGCCAUGAUAGGAGUGAUCUUGAUCAGCGGCAGGUUUCCACCAUGGUUCUCUCUCUGGCCACAGGCCCAAGGAGAUGAGGAUCAGAAUUGUGAGCUGAAACUUCUGAGACUCUGUGACAAAAUCAACCUUUUUCUUUAAGAUAGCACCGCGAUGGACAGCUGACUGACGGAUGCAAGGAUAGUCAUGCAGUACAGAAAAAAAGACACCAUCACCAGCCAGCUGGAGAGAGGUUUCCCUGCUGCCUUAGAAGUAGGCUGCCAUGUGGUCAAGUGACUGGGACCCCAGGAGGACAUCUGGGAGCUGAGACAGAACCCAGCUGACAAUAGCAGGAAGCCUGGCAGUUUAAGCUUUAAGGAACAACUACAAGGAACUGCAUUCUGCAGCCACGAUGUGAGUUUGGAAAAGAACUCCAAGCCUGACAUGAGUCUGCAACUCUUACCAGGACCUUGAUUUCAGAGUAGAGGGCUUAGCCAAAGUGUGCCUGGGCUCCUGACCUGUGCACGUGGCAUAUGCUAAAUACGUGCGUGUUGCUUAGUCACCAUGUCUGUGGCAAUCUGUUACACAGCAAUAAAAGCUAAUAGAGGGUAAUUGGAUGCGUCACUUAGCUUUUCUGACAUCCCAGUUUUCUUUCUUUUUUUUUUUAAAAAAUUCUGAAAUAAAUAUUCCAACUCAAUUUAGUGAGAUAACCUAUCUAAAGGAGUAUUAUAAAUUGUCAACUCAUUAACACCAGUGAAAACGGUUUAUUAACAAUAUGCAGUUAUACAAUAAAUUAACAUUGAGAAGAAAAACAAGGAUCUAAGCUUUUGUCUUUUUUUUAAAAAGCAUAUCUAAUUAGUGUCUAUUUUUAGACAUCAUACUGGUCUUCUC